This 1139-nucleotide ribosomal RNA is filed under the name Coxiella-like endosymbiont. Its description in RNAcentral is "bacterial SSU rRNA". It matches the Rfam family "Bacterial small subunit ribosomal RNA", at positions 256 to 1387 of the family's 1533-position model. The record is from RNAcentral. Lineage: Bacteria; Pseudomonadati; Pseudomonadota; Gammaproteobacteria; Legionellales; Coxiellaceae.
GGUAAUGGCCUACCAAGGCGACGAUCCGUAGCUGGUCUGAGAGGACGAUCAGCCACACUGGGACUGAGACACGGCCCAGACUCCUACGGGAGGCAGCAGUGGGGAAUAUUGGACAAUGGGGGAAACCCUGAUCCAGCAAUGCCGCGUGUGUGAAGAAGGCCUUCGGGUUGUAAAGCACUUUCAGUGGGGAAGAAAUUCUCAAGGCUAAUACCCUUUUGAGCGUUGACGUUACCCACAGAAGAAGCACUGGCUAACUCUGUGCCAGCAGCCGCGGUAAUACAGAGAGUGCAAGCGUUAAUCGGAAUCACUGGGCGUAAAGCGCGCGUAGGUGGAUAUUUAAGUCGGAUGUGAAAGCCCUAGGCUUAACCUGGGAAUUACAUCCGAUACUAGGUAUCUCGAGUAUGAUAGAGGGAAGUGGAAUUUCCGGUGUAGCGGUGAAAUGCGUAGAUAUCGGAAAGAACAUCAGUGGCGAAGGCGGCUUCCUGGAGCAAUACUGACACUGAGGCGCGAAAGCGUGGGGAGCAAACAGGAUUAGAGACCCUGGUAGUCCACGCCGUCAACGAUGAGAACUAGCUGUUGGAAAGUUUACUUUCUAGUAGCAAAGCUAACGCGUUAAGUUCUCCGCCUGGGGAGUACGGCCGCAAGGUUAAAACUCAAAGAAAUUGACGGGGGCCCGCACAAGCGGUGGAGCAUGUGGUUUAAUUCGAUGCAACACGAAAAACCUUACCUACCCUUGACAUCCUCGGAACUUGUCAGAAAUGACUUGGUGCCUUUGGGAACCGAGUGACAGGUGCUGCAUGGCUGUCGUCAGCUCGUGUCGUGAGAUGUUGGGUUAAGUCCCGUAACGAGCGCAACCCUCGUCCUUAGUUGCCAGCGGUUCGGCCGGGAACUCUAAGGAGACUGCCGGUGAUAAACCGGAGGAAGGUGAGGAUGAUGUCAAGUCAUCAUGGCCCUUACGGGUAGGGCUACACACGUGCUACAAUGGGCAGUACAAAGGGUUGCCAAACCGUGAGGUAAAGCUAAUCCCAAAAAGCUGCUCGUAGUCCGGAUUGGAGUCUGCAACUCGACUCCAUGAAGUUGGAAUCGCUAGUAAUCGCGAAUCAGAAUGUCGCGGUGAAUACGUUCUCGGGCCUUGUACA